Molecule: long non-coding RNA, 299 nt
Filed under: Mytilus galloprovincialis (Mediterranean mussel)
Lineage: Eukaryota; Metazoa; Mollusca; Bivalvia; Mytilida; Mytilidae
Source: RNAcentral
AAAUUUCACAUUGACGUCUCCCAAAAAGUGGUUAGAUGGGGUUAUUGAGUGCAAAAAAUCCAUUUUCUUUUAAGAUAGGGUUGUUGUAUAUCAAAUGAAAGGUCAUGAUGUGUACAUUUGAAAUAUCAAAUUCCUGACCUCUAAAAAUUAGUUGGAUAGGGUUAUUAAGUGCAAAAAUCAAACUUUCUAGAACAUGACAUUGUCGCAUAUCAAAUGAAAGCUCAUCUACUCUAUGUUACAUAUAUCAUAAUUUCGAUCUCAAAAAAGUCAGCGAAAAGUUUCAGAAGGUAAGCUUGUCG